GACGAACGCUGGCGGCGUGCCUAAUACAUGCAAGUCGAACGGAGCGGCGGACGGGUGAGUAAUGCCUAGGAAUCUGCCUGGUAGUGGGGGAUAACGUCCGGAAACGGGCGCUAAUACCGCAUACUAUCAGAUGAACCUAGGUCGGAUUAGCUAGUUGGUGGGGUAAUGGCCUACCAAGGUGACGAUCAGUAACUGGUCGGAGAGGAUGAUCAGUCAACCUGGACCGAGGACACGGUCCAGACUCCUACGGGAGGCAGCAGGGGGGAAUAUUGGACAAUGGGCGAAAGCCUGAUCCAGCCAGGCGGCGUGGGUGAAGAAGGUCUUCGGAUUGGAAAGCACUUUAAGUUGGGAGGCGGUACCAACAGAAUAAGCACCGGCUAACUUCGUGCCAGCAGCCGCGGUAAUAC
Molecule: ribosomal RNA, 407 nt
Filed under: uncultured bacterium
Lineage: Bacteria
Description: partial 16S ribosomal RNA
Rfam family: Bacterial small subunit ribosomal RNA
Source: RNAcentral